RNAcentral lists this long non-coding RNA (861 nucleotides) under Elaeis guineensis (African oil palm). RNAcentral describes it as "long non-coding RNA (EGUI_LNC001887)". Lineage: Eukaryota; Viridiplantae; Streptophyta; Magnoliopsida; Arecales; Arecaceae. The record is from RNAcentral.
AUGAACUCACAUGAUACUGGACUAUUUAAUUCUUAGACCGUAAACCCGUGAAGCACAAGAAAGCCAUAUUCUAUCUAGAAAUCAAAGAAAUAUUCAAGUAUGAUAGCAAAACACCUGAGUUUUUCCUCCUUAUUUACUUUCAAAUACCACCAACUCAGUGUUUUCAUUCUACAAGCAAGAGGGCUUCUCAGUCUUACAAACAACAACAACAACAACAACAACAAGGUACUCCAGCACAUGAAAUCAAUUUAAAGUACAACAUGAAGAAUGAAAUCCAGCCUAAAAUAGGUGGCUGUUAGUUAAAACUUAUUUCUACACCCAAAGAUCUGCUUGCAACCACGUCUAUAUGAAAGCCCAGACCGGGCACUGCCUAAUGGCAUUCUGCUUCUUGUCACGUGGUAAGAUAUGUACUUCUUGUUAUCCUGGAGAAUCCUUCUACUUGUUUCAGAAUCCAGAGCCCACUCCUCUUCUUCUACUGGAUGCCCCUGCAUGCUGAACGAGACAUUGUAAGCGUUGGCAGCUGCCAUCGAAGCUCCAGUAGGGACAGCAGCAGCAACAGCGAAGAAGAGGACCAACGCCACAACCCAGAAGUAAUUCCUCAGCCCAAAACCCAUUGCUUGCUCCCUUCUUCCAAUCCCCCUUCUCGUCCAGCUUCGGCACUCCUUUUCCUCCUCUUAUGGCACGGAUGGAGAAUAUAAAAGCGACAGAACCCUAGACACAUGACGAACAGCAAUAAUGCCAUGGUGCGUUUCUUUUGGCCUUGUUUCUCUCACCUAACAAUACGGUGAGAAAGGCCGCUCCAAGCUAGUUAACAAAAAUUUUUGACCCCAAUCCAGUUGGUUUUGUGAAAAUAACCGAGCA